RNAcentral lists this transfer RNA (76 nucleotides) under Clostridia bacterium. Its description in RNAcentral is "tRNA-Ala". It matches the Rfam family "tRNA". From Rfam's summary of the family: Transfer RNA (tRNA) molecules are approximately 80 nucleotides in length. Their secondary structure includes four short double-helical elements and three loops (D, anti-codon, and T loops). Further hydrogen bonds mediate the characteristic L-shaped molecular structure. tRNAs have two regions of fundamental functional importance: the anti-codon, which is responsible for specific mRNA codon recognition, and the 3' end, to which the tRNAs corresponding amino acid is attached (by aminoacyl-tRNA synthetases). tRNAs cope with the degeneracy of the genetic code in two manners: having more than one tRNA (with a specific anti-codon) for a particular amino acid; and 'wobble' base-pairing, i.e. permitting non-standard base-pairing at the 3rd anti-codon position. Lineage: Bacteria; Bacillati; Bacillota; Clostridia. The record is from RNAcentral. RNAcentral also lists the same sequence under 5 other names.
GGGGGUGUAGCUCAGUUGGUAGAGCGCUUGAUUUGCAUUCAAGAGGUCCUCGGUUCGAAUCCGUGCAUCUCCACCA